CUUCAGGUUACCCCAAAGUAACAUGGAAUAGGAUCAGAAGAAAACUAAUGAAAUCACAGAUUUCAACCUGAAAGAUAUUAUAGAGGUUAUCUAAUCAUACCCUCUCAUUUUGUAGAUGGGGAAACUGAGUUCCACAUAGGGGAAAUAGUUUGCUUUGUGUUACACAAGUGAAUGAGGAUUUGAAUCAGCCUCCUCUGGCUGUCAUUCCAACAUUCUUUUCUACUACAGAAAGAGAAAGUAAUUUCAUGGGAGGAAAGUAUAGUUUUCUUAUUCAUGUUUCUAUUUAUGGAUCAUCAAAAGCUUUAAUUGUGAAUAUUCCCUUACUUCCUUUCAUAGUGCUUUGCACAUGGAAGGAAUUAAAUAAAUGAUAGCCAAAUGAGUCAAUGAAGCAUUGGUUAAUGGAUAUAUAGGAACCACAGAAUAAUAAUUUAAAAAAAACUCAGCUUUCUCCAUCAAAGUAUGACUUAAUCAUGUUUGUAUUUCUAACAGGUCAAGAUGACUUCGAUUUAGCAGAUGCACUUGAUGAUAAUGAGGACAUCACAAGGAGACCUCCCCCAGCUACCAAGAAACCAGGAUCAGGUUGGUUAUAUCAUUAACUGUUUGAAAACAUCUUAAAUUUCAAAGUUGCAAAAUGAUGGUUUAUGCUAGACAAGAGUACAAUCUGACAGUCACAUAUCUGGAUUGAGCUUUACAAACAAGUUGUAAAUUAAAAUUAACUUAAUAAAAACUAGGUAUUUAGCA
Molecule: long non-coding RNA, 741 nt
Filed under: Monodelphis domestica (gray short-tailed opossum)
Lineage: Eukaryota; Metazoa; Chordata; Mammalia; Didelphimorphia; Didelphidae
Description: lncRNA (ENSMODG00000048673.1)
Source: RNAcentral